CCGGCCCAUUUCUGCGGAACGUGGAUAGUCGCUGCCCCUCUCAUCUUAUCCUCUUCCUCCUCAUCUUCUGUCAGUCACUCGCUCCUCUCUCUGUUUCAGUCAAUGUCCUCUACUCAUCCUCUUCCUGUCGCGAGCUGGGGUUCGUGGGGUUAGUUGCUAGAUCUUCUCCCACUGCCUCAUCUGCUCCUACUGCUUCAGUCCAUGGCUUCUGUUCUUCCUCUUCCUGUCAUGAGCUAGGGUUCUUGGGGUUUGUUGCUAGGUGUUUCUAAUCGGGCGGUUUGGUUGCUGUUGGAUUGGAUUUCCUGGCAUCUUAUUUUUUUUCCAGGUCUUCACAGUCGGGUGUUUUGGUUGCUGUAGGAUCUGCCGUUGCUAUGGUGUCAAUGAUUUUUUUUCUUACACUUUUGCUUGAUGAGGAAUUUCUGGAAGUUUAGGUUUUCGGGAGAUGUAAUAUGUUAACAUUUAGUAAAGAUUAGGCAGGUUUUUUUUUUUGGGCUGUGUCUAUCCUAAUUAUGUGAAUGUAUAUAUAUUUAUCAUCAAGGCUGAUUUAAAUUCAAUGAUUUUACUACUGCAUCUAUAGCUUUUUUGAUAUAUUACACUGUAUAUUGUAGGCUAGUUUUAGUGUUCUUGCUUUUGUUUAAUGUGUGCAUUUUUUGUACAAUGAGUAUGCAAGUUUGUAAUUGUAGCUUUUUUUAUUUUUAGGAAUUAGGCUGUUUGUACUCAUACUCAAUUGUGUGCAUUUUUUUAGGCAUUUAGUAUAUCCUAGAUAGUUACUAAUGUAGUCUAUCAUGAAUCUUAUUUUUGCUGUUCUAAAUUCUGUGUAAUUUCAGUACGAUGAACAUGCAAGUAUCUUAUAUAUGUUGAUUUGAUUUUUUUUAAGAUGUGAAUGUGUGUGUCUAUAUAUAUAUAUAUAUAUAUCCCAGUUGAUAUUUGAUGAAUCCACACUAGUAUUAGUAAAAUUAAGAACUGAGUUAUAUAUUAUGUUAUUUUUCAUGUAGAUUGAAUUCCUUAUUGUUUAUAUCAAUAUACCUGCUCGCAAUCACUAGUGUGUAGUUAUACAUUAUUUAUUUUUUGUAAGUUUCCAAUUUAGAUUUAGUGAAUUCUUUUUCUGUGAGUUUAUAAUCAGAUUUGAGAGUGUUUAUUUCCUAUAGUCAAUUUAGGUUGUCCUUCCUGUUUAUUCUCUUUUGUUUAAUUAUGUAAUUUUUUUCUUUUUUUAUUCAAUAUUUUUGUUGUUUUCUUUCCCCUGUAGACAUGGUUUGCCCCAUUUGUCAUUGCCUGGGUGCCCCUUGUGUACCAUUUGCGGCAAAUCAAGAAGUUCCUGAAGUUUUCGAUGUUCUGCUUGAUGAGGACUGCUUUAGGAGGAUGUUUUUCUGUAGUGGAUGUUUGGCCGACUGGAGAAGGACUUUGGAAGGAAGAAAUGUGAGCAGAAGAACUACAGAGAGGUCAGAACAGAUCUGAGGUUUGUUCCAGCGUCCAUGGCAGCGGUUGAGUCGUGCGAUGUCGAGGAAGGGAAAGGAAGGAAGAAGACCUAGUGCUGUGCGUUAGAUGGAUGUUGUGUAGUGCGUUAGAUUUUGGGCUGAAUGCAGAUGGCAGAAACAACAUACUCAGAAGUUUUUCUGCGUUGUUGGGCUUUGUUGACUGGCCCCUAUUUUGUGUCAGUCAUUUUCCUAUGCCUUGUUAGUUGAUUUUUUUUUUUGCCAAUUGACUGACCCGUUUUUGGUGUCAGUCGACUGACAGAUAGCCUCACCCAUUUCAACCCCACCAAACGCCGAGAUUUCAACACGAUGUUCUGAUUUCUGAA
Triticum aestivum (bread wheat) is the source of this 1798-nucleotide RNA transcript. RefSeq lists it as uncharacterized. The transcript is spliced from 4 exons. NCBI's taxonomy places the organism in Eukaryota, Viridiplantae, Streptophyta, Magnoliopsida, Poales, Poaceae. The record is from RefSeq and is a predicted model, not a curated record.